GAGGGAGAGGAGAGGCGAGUGGAGAGGGAGAGGAGAGGCGAGUGGAGAGGGAGAGGAGAGGCGAGUGGAGAGGGAGAGGAGAGGCGAGAGGAGAGGGAGAGGAGAGAUAGAAAAUAGAGAUAAAAGAGAGAGGAGAGAGAGAGGGAAAGAGAGAGUGAGGGAGAGAGAAAGAGUGAGUAAAAAGAGUGAGAGAAAAAGUGAGAGAAAGAUUGCGAGAGCGUGUGAAAAAGGAGAGAGAGAGAGAGAGGGAAAGAGAGAGGGAGAGCAAGAGUGAGAGAGUAGAGAGAAGAGAGGGAAAGAGAAAGAGAGGGAGAGACAGAGAGACACAGAGGGAUAGAGAGGAAGAAACACUGUGUGUCUGUGUGUUCCACAAUUUGCUACUUCAACAACUAAGGGGCUGCCUUGGGUUCCGCAUCUUUGAGAAGCUCUUACAGAUUUGGUCGAGGAGCAUCAGGCAAAAGCAAUGAGACUGCGGGGUCUCUGUCACACUGUCUCCCCCUUGUCAUUGAACGACAUUGAGCUCGACCUCGGGACCCAGGGGGACAAUAUUCCCGUGGGCUCAACAAAAAAGGGGAGAAACAUUGGGGCUCCGUGGUGGAUCAGACGUACUGGGAUCGAGAUUCACCCUAAAGUCCUUGCAAUACUAUUGCUAUUGCAAGCUUCCCCUCGACAUGGGACCAACAAAGUCCAGCCCACAAUGUCUCCCAAGGCUGUCCCCAACCCUUCCUCCACCACAGGGCCCCAGCGGGGACCGGAAAACGCCAACCCCACCCGCCCACCUAGGAGAAUUGCAAAAGUGCGGCCUCUCUUUGCCCCUCAGUCCACCAGUUCUCCAAAGUGUGCCCCACAAGCCAGGAAGCCCCCGGAAGAAUACUUUAUAUUGCAAGUAUGCCCCUUUUUUGUCCCCCAGCCUGAAAGUCACCCAAACUGUGCCCCACAACCCAGGAAGCCCCAGGAAGACUUUAUGAAGAGUCUGGAUGUAAAGGAAAGGCGGCAAUGUAAAGUACGCCCCUUUUUUGUCCCCCAGCCUGAAAGUCCCCCAAACUGUGCCCCACACUCCCAGACGCCCUAGGGAGAAUGCUCUAGUAAGAGUCAGGGUGUAAAGAAAAGAUGGCAAUACAAAAUACGCCCUGUCUUUGUCCCCCAGCCUGAAAGUUCCCCAAACUGUGCCCCACAACCGCCCUCCCAGACACCCCAGGGAGGUCCUUCUGGACAACAACGCCCCUUUUCGGGUUUCUUUAAAAAUAUAAAUGCUGCAAGAAUCGAGAAGUAAAGAAACCGCUAGAAGAAUCGAGAAGUAAAGAAACCGCUGCAAGAAUCGAGAAGUAUUUCUCCUAUUUCCCCCACAGAUACUACAAAAUUGUGCCUGAGCAAACUUACACAUUAAAAUUAAAAAAAAAAAAAUUGAGCUAGAAUGGGGGUCCUUCAGAUACAGCCCCAAAGAUGGAAAGAAAGCCAUUGGGCUGGGGAUGGACCUGUCUAAAGUACUGAGGACCUCCAGGAUAAAUACACAGAAGAAGUGGGGACCCCUGGCCUAGCUGGGUGUUGGCUGGAGCUUCAGCAAAAACCACACUUUAUCUCCCAGUCAAGUCAACUUGAAGUCUUGACUCCUGGAGCCUGAGUGAAGCUGGGCUGCUUAGGAUGACAGCUGGGUACAGCUGGGCCACUGAGAACCUGAGGAAGUGGCCCUGACAAGAAGGAACCCCACCCUGGUGGGGGCAGAGCCAGAGGCAGGGGGCCGGGAUGCUGCUGGCUGCCAGUGCAGGAGCUGCUGGCUCCUGGUCCACCCAGGAAGGGGGAUGCUCUUGGUUUGUGCUUCCUGGUCGGAGAGUUUGGAGUUUCUGGGCAGAGGGCAGAACUGAAGGGAAGCAUGAGGAACCAUGUCUUCACACCACAAGUAGAGGUCCUUAAACUGAAUUAAAUCUUUUAUAACAAUGCACCAGCUAAGAAGAACCCCACCUUUGAAACAUAUUAUGGAAACAGGGAAGACUAGAGUUCAUCUUCAGAGAAGGACACUAAGCAACAAAGCUUUUACAUCAAAGAGUAACCUGAAAUGGCCCCAAACUCAGAGAAUGUAUACAACUCAAAAAAGAAGUUAAACAUCAAAUGAGAGACACUAGGGAAAAACGAACCAAAAUAAAAAAUUCCAUCCAAGGAAAACCAAAAGUUUAGGAAACAAAAAAGGAAACCAACUUGCAGAGGAGGAACAGAAUCUCAAAGAUGAAAAUAAUUCUUUGAAAAUGAGGGUGGAGCAAUUGCAAGACAGGAAGUUAAGACAAACCAGGAAAUAACAAAAAGGACAGAUUUUAGUGAUUGCAAACAAAUAGAACAAAAUGUGAAACAUCUUAUAAUUUAAAAAACAGAUCUGGAGAACAGAUUUAAGAAGAGAAACUUCAAUUGGACUGCUUGACAAUUGUGACCCAAAAAAAACCCUUGACACAAAAUGCAAGAAAUAAUUUAGGACAAUUGUCCUGGGAGUGGAAGCGCCAAGAUGGCAGAGAAAAGACACGACUUUCUCAGAGCUCUCCCACACAUACCUCAAAUUAACAGCAAAUUGAGCCUUUGAUCCGGUCGUAUGAAGUGACAGAACCCACAAGUAUUUGGAAUGUAACAAAUUGCCAACAGAAGGGGUAAAUUUAAAGAUUUCCAGAAAAGGUCUGUUUCAAUUGGCCACUGUGAGAAGUGGGCCGAGCGCUGGUAGUACAGAUCCCCAGGGUGGUUGGGAUCUAGGCACUAGGGAACCUACCAGUAGGAACCAGUAGGAAGCAGAGUUGGCUUCUCUGUCCUGGUUACAAGCCAGUACAUCAGAUUAUCUGGAAAACAUCCAACACAAAUACAAAAAACAAUUAGUGAGCCGCUAAAUCCCAGAAUAUCCUGGGCCCUGGCCAUGCCCACCUGGCCACCAAAAGUUAGUCAGCAUUGAAGCCAGCACAGCUUGUUAGAGGAAGCUUGGACAAUCUCCCCGUUGUCUGAAAUGGACCUCAACCUUAUUUAAAAAAUAAGCAAAAAGAAUUCUCAGCAUAGAUAGUUUUUAUGGAGAAAGAGAAGAAAUUUCAAACUCUGAGGACACUAAAAGCAGAUCAUCUCCAGAGACCCCAAAGGAUGAUGAUAAGAAUUGGUCCCCAUCUCACAAGCCUGUCUUGGAAGGCUUGGAAGGAUUCAAAAACGGACUUAAAACAGGGAAGAAAUAAUAAAGAAAGGCAAUGAAAAUUUUGCAAGACGGUUUGGAAAAGGAAACAGAAAUUAUCUGAAGAAAAUUCCUUACCAAAUAGAUUGAAUGAAAUGGAAAAAAAAAAAACAUACAACACCUUACAAAAUAGAUUUGACAAAAUGGAAAAAGAAAAUAACUCCUUAAAAAAUAGAGUUUAUGACAUGGAAAAACUGCAUUGAGCAAAACAACUCAUUUAAAAAUUGAAUUGCCCCAAUCCAAAAGGAGCUAAAAAAGGUAGCUGAAGAAAAUCAUUUACUAAACAUCGAGCAAAUGGAAAUGAAUGACUCAAUGAGACAUCAAAAAUCAGUCAUCCAAAAAAAUUGAAAAAAUACAAGAAAGUAAAAUGCCACUGACCUGGAAGAUAGACCUAAGAGAGACAAUCUAAGCAUAUCUGGACUCCCUCAAAAGUAGGAUCAAAAAAGCCUAGACAUCAUCUUUCAGGAAAUCACCAAGAGAAACUGCACUGAUGUCCUAGAACCAGAAGAUAAAAUAACCAUUGAAAGAAUUCACCAGUCAUCUCCUGAAAGAGUUCCCCAAAUGAAAACUCCAUGGAAUACCAUAGCUAAAUUUCAGAAUUAUCGGAUUAAGGAAAAAAUAUUGCAAGUAGCCAGAAAGAAACAAUUCAAUAUCAAGGAACUGCAGUCAGGAUCAUCCUGUGAACAUCAGAACCUUAAAGGAUCGAAGCACCUGGAAUCUGAUAUUCUGAAAGGUAAGAAGAUGAACAUAUGGAUUUCAAUCAUUUCUGAUGAAAAGAGCAGAGCUGAACAAAAAAUUUGACUUGCAAAUACAGAACACAAGAAGCAUCAGAAGAUCGAGACAAAAUAAUAACAAAGUUCAUCUGGAAGAACAAAAUCAAGAAUUACAAGGGAAUUAAUGAAAAAUCGCAAAUGAAGGAAGAAAUCAGAUCCCAAGAUACAAAGCACGACAAAGGAGGAAAACAGGAUUCUGUAUGUGACGGGGAGCUAGACCCCAGACUCAAAUUGGCUACUCAGAGACAUCUCCAGAUACAACCAGAAAGCAUGGAUUCUCAUGGUCUGGGUCCCCAGGCCGGAAAGAGGGGAUGGACGAACUAGCAAAGACUCGGGUUCAUUGGAUGGACUGAAAAGGAAGUAACCAUUGACCCAUGAUCAGCAAUGCUGUCCAGGUCCUGUGACUUGCUGAAGCUUAGACCAGGAUCCUGUCUGAACUCUUCUGCCCUAUAUUGCUCUGAGAAUAGGGAUCAUGUGACUCCCAGAAACUUAGGUCUAGGGUCUGACCUUUUCUGCCCCAGAGUCCUCUAGGACUAGAGAUCCCCCGAUUCCCUGAACCUCAGCCCUAGCUUCGACAGCCUCUGAGAAUCUGCCCUCCGCCCCCCGCCCUCCAGCCCAUUCAGGCCCUCUUUAUUUCAGACCUUGGAAGUUCUCUCCCCCCAGUCCGGAUGCUUUUCUCCCACCAGGACAUGUUACUUAGGCCUUCAGGCUGAUUCCCUCCCCUCCCUCCCUCCCUGUCCCCCCAGGAUCCAGGUAACUACCCUCUCCCCUUCAGAACUCGCCCCGCCCAUCCGUGGGAGCUUUCAGGAACCACUUCACUAAGAGAUCUUGGCCCACUCUAGUGCUUAAGUGCAUGAGCCAGAGGAUGGUAGGAUAAGGCUGUUUAAGGCAAGGAGCAGGAGUCAGAGACCCCAUGCCCUGCUCCCAUCCCCCUCCCCCUUCUUGGAAACCCUGUCAUCACCGACCCACAAUUGGCGUCUGGCUGCCGGUGUCAUCCACAGAACUCCAGCACUGUCCAGGCCCGGAGGCCUCAGGGCCGUUAUCCCACCUCAAGCAGGACAGAUGGAGUCUUCUGGGCCAAAGGGACACAGGUCUCCCCUUGAGAAGCUGCUGCAGGCUGGCGAGGGGCGAGGACACUGGAGCCCUGCCCAGCGGGGGUCGGACUGAGAAGAGACCCGGGACUUGGACGUGACGUCAGCAGCAGGAGCCGCCGAGUGUCCGAAUCAGUGAUUUCUGGUUGACCAGUACUUGGAAUUUCAGGGCCUGGAGUCUGGAAGAAACAACUCACAAGUAGAUUAGCGAUGCAAGGCCUGAAUAUGAGGGGGGAAAAUGGAGUUAAUAUGGGGGUUACAGGGACAGAAACCAGAGUCCCCUCCCACAUGAAGACUGGUUGGGGGGAACGAUGAGGCUCUCAUGAAUGUCUCUCAUCCAGACAGAUUUUCCUAGAAUAAAUAGCAAAAAGUA
Long non-coding RNA from Antechinus flavipes (yellow-footed antechinus), 5424 nucleotides. RefSeq lists it as uncharacterized. The record is from RefSeq and is a predicted model, not a curated record. The transcript is spliced from 5 exons. NCBI's taxonomy places the organism in Eukaryota, Metazoa, Chordata, Mammalia, Dasyuromorphia, Dasyuridae.